Molecule: transfer RNA, 79 nt
Filed under: Klebsiella pneumoniae
Lineage: Bacteria; Pseudomonadati; Pseudomonadota; Gammaproteobacteria; Enterobacterales; Enterobacteriaceae
Description: tRNA-Met(cat)
Rfam family: tRNA
About the family: Transfer RNA (tRNA) molecules are approximately 80 nucleotides in length.
Source: RNAcentral
UAGGCUACGUAGCUCAGCUGGUUAGAGCACAUCACUCAUAAUGAUGGGGUCACAGGUUCGAAUCCAGGUACCCCAGCCA